This 426-nucleotide ribosomal RNA is filed under the name uncultured bacterium. RNAcentral describes it as "bacterial SSU rRNA". It matches the Rfam family "Bacterial small subunit ribosomal RNA", at positions 359 to 776 of the family's 1533-position model. The record is from RNAcentral.
GAAUAUUGGACAAUUGGCGCAAGCCUGAUCCAGCCAUGCCGCGUGUGUGAAGAAGGCCUUCGGGUUGUAAAGCACUUUUGUACGGGAAGAAACCUUCCGGGUUAAUACCCUGGGAGAAUGACGGUACCGUAAGAAUAAGCACCGGCUAACUUCGUGCCAGCAGCCGCGGUGAUACGAAGGGUGCAAGCGUUACUCGGAAUUACUGGGCGUAAAGCGUGCGUAGGUGGUUCGUUAAGUCUGCCGUGAAAGCCCCGGGCUCAACCUGGGAAUUGCGGUGGAUACUGGCGGACUAGAGUGCGGUAGAGGGUGGUGGAAUUCCCGGUGUAGCAGUGAAAUGCGUAGAGAUCGGGAGGAACAUCUGUGGCGAAGGCGGCCACCUGGACCAGCACUGACACUGAGGCACGAAAGCGUGGGGGAGCAAACAGG